This 497-nucleotide ribosomal RNA is filed under the name uncultured bacterium. RNAcentral describes it as "partial 16S ribosomal RNA". It matches the Rfam family "Bacterial small subunit ribosomal RNA", at positions 28 to 507 of the family's 1533-position model. The record is from RNAcentral.
GAUGAACGCUGGCGGCGUGCCUAAUACAUGCAAGUCGAGCGAACGGACGAGAAGCUUGCUUCUCUGAUGUUAGCGGCGGACGGGUGAGUAACACGUGGAUAACCUACCUAUAAGACUGGGAUAACUUCGGGAAACCGGAGCUAAUACCGGAUAAUAUUUUGAACCGCAUGGUUCAAAAAUGAAAGACGGUCUUGCUGUCACUUAUAGAUGGAUCCGAGCUGCAUUAGCUAGUUGGUAAGGUAACGGCUUACCAAGGCAACGAUGCAUAGCCGACCUGAGAGGGUGAUCGGCCACACUGGAACUGAGACACGGUCCAGACUCCUACGGGAGGCAGCAGUAGGGAAUCUUCCGCAAUGGGCGAAAGCCUGACGGAGCAACGCCGCGUGAGUGAUAAAGGUCUUCGGAUCGUAAAACUCUGUUAUUAGGGAAGAACAUAUGUGUAAGUAACUGUGCGCAUCUUGACGGUACCUAAUCAGAAAGCCACGGCUAACUACGUG